ACUUAAUGGAAGGGUAAAUGAGUAAUUGCUCAGCUUGAAAAAAAAACUGUGCUCACUAGACUAACACUAGAAACAUCGUCUCUCAUCCAUAUUCUCAAGUAUCAGAAUUCUUUGAUCAAAGGUUUUCAUCGACUUCCGGUGCCUCUCCCUUGGUUUCUGCUCUUCGUUGUAACAUCUCUUUGUUCGUGGAUAUUUGUAAUAUUUCAUUGUGUGGUUUAUAUGAUUGAGAAGAGCGUCCGAAGAAACCAAGUGAAAAUAAAGUAAAAAAGAGGCCAAACUGGACAGUCCAGUGCAAAAGCGGGGCAGAAUUGAGUGGGUUUAGUGUUUCUCUUUUAACUCUUCAAGCUUUAAUGUCAUUUAAUGGUGUACAACAUUAUUUGUGCCUAAAUACCCUUACUUUGCUUGAAAAAGAAAGUAGAGGUUAGGAAAAGAGUUAAUAGCAAGGAUUUGAUGCUUAACCCUCAUCUAAUAACUUGAGCUAAGAAUAGGAUAGUUAACUUGAGAUUCAAUUGGUAGUGCUUAAUUUCACAUUCUAAAGCUUGGAAAAGUUUAGAGUGAAAUUCAUUGAUUUGGUUGGAAGACUUUCAAUGAGAUUUUUGAAACCAUUAUCUAUUAACAUAAACUCGCUCUUAGUUGUAAAAUUGUAAAAUACAUUGGAUUGUUACUUGAGAGUAAUUUUCCUUGUAUC
This is a long non-coding RNA of Lycium barbarum (goji berry), 688 nucleotides long. RefSeq lists it as uncharacterized. The record is from RefSeq and is a predicted model, not a curated record. The transcript is spliced from 3 exons. Lineage: Eukaryota; Viridiplantae; Streptophyta; Magnoliopsida; Solanales; Solanaceae.